AACGUAGGAGGCGAGCGUUAUCCGGAUUUACUGGGCGUAAAGCGCGUGUAGGCGGUCUAGCAAGUUGGAUGUGAAAUCUCCUGGCUCAACCGGGAGAGGUCGUUCAAUACUGCUAGGCUAGAGAGCAGUAGAGGGGGGUGGAAGUCCGGGUGUAGCGGUGAAAUGCGUAGAUAUCCGGAGGAACACCAGUGGCGAAGGCGGCCCCCUGGACUGUCUCUGACGCUCAGACGCGAAAGCUAGGGGAGCAAACGGG
RNAcentral lists this ribosomal RNA (253 nucleotides) under uncultured bacterium. Its description in RNAcentral is "partial 16S ribosomal RNA". It matches the Rfam family "Bacterial small subunit ribosomal RNA", at positions 524 to 776 of the family's 1533-position model. The record is from RNAcentral.